Molecule: long non-coding RNA, 496 nt
Filed under: Ananas comosus (pineapple)
Lineage: Eukaryota; Viridiplantae; Streptophyta; Magnoliopsida; Poales; Bromeliaceae
Description: long non-coding RNA (ACOM_LNC024538)
Source: RNAcentral
AAAAGAAUGAAGAUGUUUUGACUAUCUGAGUGAGCAUUUGACCAAGUUUUUUUUGCCUUAAAUUUUCAAGCAUGUAUAUCGUUACUUCUAAUUUACUGUGUUUACUUUCUGGCUUUUAUCAUUAAAUUUCUGAACAUGUAUAUCGUCACUUAAAAUUUUGAAAUAUGUGUACUGUUUAUAUGUGUGUGUGUGUGUGUGCGCGCGCGCGUAUACAUAUAUAUAAAUAUAUGAUUAUGAAAGUAACUAAUUAGAUUCUAAGGUCCCCAUGUAUGAAAACGAAAACAGGUUCAUUCAUGUGAACACCGUUUUCUCCUUUUACAAAAGAAUCCACAGCUGGGCCCGCCAAGAACAUUAAUAUUGAAGCCCCCAAACAUGCCCAAACACUAAUUUUUAAGGGUGAGAAUAGCUAUUCCUAGUUCCCACCCCUACGUGGAACAACGCUAUAUCCACCUUUUUCCUCUCUCUCCCCCCUUUUAUAAUAAAUUUUAAAAUUNNN